This 817-nucleotide ribosomal RNA is filed under the name Phyllosticta paracapitalensis. Its description in RNAcentral is "eukaryotic LSU rRNA". It matches the Rfam family "Eukaryotic large subunit ribosomal RNA", at positions 103 to 936 of the family's 3401-position model. Lineage: Eukaryota; Fungi; Ascomycota; Dothideomycetes; Botryosphaeriales; Phyllostictaceae. The record is from RNAcentral.
AAUAGCUCAAAUUUGAAAGCUGGCGUCUUCGACGUCCGCGUUGUAAUUUGUAGAGGAUGCUUCGGCGAAGACUCCUGCCUAAGUCCCCUGGAACGGGGCGUCAUAGAGGGUGAGAAUCCCGUAUGUGGCGGGCAGUCUAAGCCAUGUGAAGCUCCUUCGACGAGUCGAGUUGUUUGGGAAUGCAGCUCUAAAUGGGAGGUAAAUUUCUUCUAAAGCUAAAUAUUGGCCAGAGACCGAUAGCGCACAAGUAGAGUGAUCGAAAGAUGAAAAGCACUUUGGAAAGAGAGUUAAAAAGUACGUGAAAUUGUUGAAAGGGAAGCGCUUGCAACCAGACUCGCUCGUAGUUGCUCAGCCGGCCUCUUGGCCGGUGUACUCUUCUACGAUCGGGCCAGCAUCAGUUCGGGCGGCAGGAUAAAGGUGUCGGGAAUGUAGCACCCUUCGGGGUGUGUUAUAGCCCGGCGCGGAAUGCUGCCAGCCUGGACUGAGGAUCUCGCUUCGGCAAGGAUGCUGGCGUAAUGGUUGUAAGCGGCCCGUCUUGAAACACGGACCAAGGAGUCUAACAUCUAUGCGAGUGUUUGGGUGUCAAACCCAUGCGCGUAAUGAAAGUGAACGGAGGUGGGAACCCCUCACGGGGUGCACCAUCGACCGAUCCUGAUGUCUUCGGAUGGAUUUGAGUAAGAGCAUAGCUGUUGGGACCCGAAAGAUGGUGAACUAUGCCUGAAUAGGGUGAAGCCAGAGGAAACUCUGGUGGAGGCUCGCAGCGGUUCUGACGUGCAAAUCGAUCGUCAAAUUUGGGUAUAGGGGCGAAAGACUAAUC